Chinchilla lanigera (long-tailed chinchilla) is the source of this 4508-nucleotide long non-coding RNA. RefSeq lists it as uncharacterized. NCBI's taxonomy places the organism in Eukaryota, Metazoa, Chordata, Mammalia, Rodentia, Chinchillidae. The record is from RefSeq and is a predicted model, not a curated record. The transcript is spliced from 3 exons.
UUGAAAACAUUUCUCACGUUAAGUACUGACUUUUAAUAAACUUUCAAAACUUUUGAAUGAUAUAUCAAAAAGGAUUAAUUUAGAUAUCAGACAAAGGGAAAUAAAAUAUUAGGAAUAUUCUGGACAUAAUUCAAACAGGAUAAAGCAUAUAGAUGAACAAACAUCUUUAUCUUCUGAGAAUGCUCCUUAUGCUAAACUUCACCAAAUUACUUUCCUAUCUGCCUUAUCAUGGCGUAACAUUAUAAAAAGCAGGCUGUUUUAAAUGCUCAAGCUCUGCAAUUAUCUCAGCAUCUACCAUGUCAUUCUUUAACAAUUAGUUGCUAAUUACAGUAGUAUAAGCAUCCUAAAGAGAUGUGGCACUUCUAAAGAUUUUGCAGGUAUCUUUCUUACCAUUAGAGUUCUAUAAGAGACUAUACCACCUUUUUCUUUCUAGGACACUACAAAAAUGCUUGUAUCGUGUGGUUAUACAUAAAAUAUUCGACUGUUCUGCUCCAACCAGGAACUCCAAACUCUGAGAGGCAUACUAGAAAGUCAUUUUGAUUCCUGUCUGCACUUUACGUUAAAAUUAUACUACUACAGACUCUAUUAGCAAAAUUCCACAGUAGCGCUGUAUUAUUAUAGACAGAAAAAUAAUCUUUAAAAGUUGAAAAAAAUUACAUAACCUAGGAGUAAGCCAUAAUUAUCGUAACUUAGUAGGUUUUAGGUUUACCAUACUGGUGAGUAAGACUUUCCCUGGGAAUAAAGUGCUCAUCCAAGUAAAGCAAAUUAAUUUCUCUCAGGCACCUGAAACACUACAACUGGGAAUAACUACCUCCUCCAAAGGAGCGAAAUGGAUCCCUGGACUCCCUUCAAGGGCUAAUUUACCUAAUGUAAGUGAGCACUUUACUUCUACGUAAUGUUUUAUUUGCCUAGAAGCAUCACAGGAUUAAGAGUCUAAAUAUACCUAAUGUUAUAUUUUGAGUAUUUUAAGAUAUCUGUUCCUGAAAUAAUCUCCAUAAAAGAAGCUUAAUUCUUUACUGUCAAUACAGUAAAGUUUGUGAAAAUUAUCAAGGCAGUCUUAGAUUUUAGUCCCACAUUGGCUUAUAACCUUAUUAUAAAGUUUUUAUUUUUCUCUAUCUGUCAGCUCUUCAGAGAAAAAUAAGACUGACUACACGGUUUCACCUCUCUUGCAAGAUCAUGAAAAGAAGUGUAAAAACUUGCACGGGCAAAUAUUCUAGCAGUUAUCAGAAUGAAGAGGUUGUGCCACGCUGCUAACUGUAGCGAGAUAUAUCCAGGACCACAUGGAAGUUAUCAGUAAUAAUCACUGAAGUUGACAGGAUGUGCACCACCUGUGACUAUGACGAGACAACUUUGGCACAGGGACAGGGGUCUCCCAGUUCAUCCAGGCAAUGCUCGAAAAGGAGACAGGAAUAGCAGGCUGGCCUUCUGCAACUGGACCAAAUAUGGUGAAACCUAUUUAAGGCCAGCCACAGCAAAGAACCAGUCUUGCUAAGGGUCUUUCAGCCUGGGCCUCACAGUGGAACAUGGAACCCAGACAGAGGAAAGUUGCAGCUGAACCAUGUCUCAGCAGAUACAAUGAGGAUAAUGUGACACUGUUAAUGUAAGCCACUGUGAUUUCCAGCUUGUUCACAACACAGAAAAAUUGACUACAUAUACAUAUCUUACAGUGACAAAAACCAAGAAGCAGCUCGGUUAAAUAACUCUUCCAAAGUCUCAUAUCUGCAAAAUAGAAAUCAUUCCCAAACCAGUGUGUUUUUACCUAUUAUGUAAUGCUUUUCUUUGUGAUGAAAUGAACUGUCAAAGAAUUUACAAGGUAAGCUAAGAGUUCUUUUAUCAAGUGAGACUAUGAGGUCUACUGGUCACCUAAUCCAAGGGUGCUCUAAAGUAUCUCCAUGAAGUAUCAUUUCUCCUCUCUACUGAAGACAAAGUGUCACCUAUUCCUGUGUAUUUUCUCUUUUCAUGGGUUGAGAGACUAAUAAUGAUAAAUAUCUGCUUUCUGUUGACUUUCUGGGUUGUUUUUCAAAAUCUUCUCAUAAAAAUCUUAUUUAUAAUUCUAUUCAUUUGUGAGGCUAAAUAGCAAAGUUAUUGUUGCCAAAAUCUCCCGUCACUCCAAAUUCUUUAGUAACAAGUUAUAUUACAUGUCUAGCUUUUUCAGAAACGAGAAUGGUGAAGUAUCCACAGAUAAUGAUUUACUGUACACCAUAAAACCAAAAUGUCUGUUGCAGCUGUAAAGGUGACGAUGAGGAAGAGUACAUGGUUCUCUGAACUUUACUUCAACUGAAUAUCACCUAACUAGUUUCUUUUGUAUAUGUAGAUACAUUGUGUAUCUGGGAUCUUGGAUGUCUAACUCUAUUUUUAAAGCUUUUCUCUAAAACUGCUAGGGAAAGACUAAAUCAUGAGUGGAAUAUGUGUCUGUGUAGUAAGUUUUGUUAAUUUACAACUUAUAAAAUGUCAAAUUCUUUUAAAAAACAAACAACUUUGAGCUUCUUUAUGUGUGUAAAGGCACAAUGCUAAAGAAUUCCUGAUAGAAAAAAGACAAAGAAGAGAACUUCCUGUGUGCUGGAAUACUUUUUCUGUGAGGCUCAGGAAAAAUCCAUGCCAGAACAUAGCUGAUCCUAAGAAUUCACAAGGUUCUUUUUCUUUUUCCUUCCGAGAGCAGAGCCCCAAGACUGAAAUAUUUGGAAUCACUAUUACAAAAAUGCUACUUCUGUUCUGCCAUCUAUACUACCUUUGUCCUUUAUUCUCACUGCCAUCCCCCCAAUUGUGUUAUGAAUAAUUAGCCAUGAAAUCUUAAUUAAAUGUUGUUUUAUAAUUUUAUUUUAGUGAGUAUAAAAUAUUUACAGGGUUUUACUAGGCUCCAUUUAAGAUGAGAAAAAACUUUUUUCAUUAAUUUGUUUCAAUUCAGAAUUCACUUUCUCCUGGAAUUUUCAAGAUCAACCUAAAGUAUGGGGGAGAAAUUCUGUACUUUUUUGGGUAAUAUACUGAGGUUGAGUUUUACCCUGUCAUCGUUAAAUAUAGGCGAUAUUCUUUUUCUCAGAUUUUCCAUUACAUUAAUCAGCACUGUUCAUUUUCUUACUUUGUCACACAGUUUCACUAAAAAGCACAAGAAAUUCUGAUAAUUACAACUUAUAAAAUGUCAAAUUCUUUUAAAAAACAAACAACUUUGAGCUUCUUUAUGUGUGUAAAGGCACAAUGCUAAAGAAUUCCAAUUCCAAAGGCACAAUGCUUUGAAUUCCAUUCAAAGUUUGCAUUUAAAUAAAAUGUUUACUAUCUUGCUUCUUUUGAUAAAGUACAGAGAGUAGGGAAACUUGCAGUUUCUAAAGUCCCACAGUGAAUGAUCUAGAUAAUCUUGCUAGAACUACCUAUAAAACAACAGUAAAUUUUAAAGAAGGAUUUAUGGGACUUACCCACAAUAAAAUACAGGCCUUUAAGUACAGUAUUUUGUUUUGUGUGUGAUAUUUAUUUUGGCAAGUCAGAAAUCUUUUCUAACUCCUUUCUCUGGUAUAGGGUAGUACCUCAACAGGAAUAUCUAUUCCGGGAUCCUUUUAAAUCUAAGAAUAACCACGCUGCUAACAUUCAAAAGCUGUUCACCAGGAAACAGAGGAGAGAGGAGCCAGGGUGAGAGACCCUUCCAGGCCACACCCUCAGUGACCCACCUUUUCUGACCAGAUCCCAUCUCCUAGCUUGACAUUUAGCUAGGAACUCAUAGAGACCUCUGUAGCCAUGACACAAGGCAGCCCAACUGCUGCUCUAGCUGGCAGCAGACCUUGGGAUUAUCCACAUGGUGCUGGUUUUACAGGCAUACACAAUGCAAGAGUUGCAACUCAUCAGUUGAAGCGCAUCAGAAACCCACUGAUUAGUACAGUGUUCCUGUAAUCCAAUCACUUCCCCAAAACUGAAGGCAUGGGGCUCUGAACAGCAAUCUAGAUACAAACCAUAGCAUUCUACUCCUGGCCCCUAUGUACAUAUCUUUAAGCAAAAUGCAUAUAACCCAUCUCUAAGAGUUGCCAAAGUCCUAGCAGUUCUGACGCUGCUGAGAAGUCCAAGCUGAAAGUUUCCUCCAAGACUUAAAGCAAUCUUUUAGCUGUGAGCCUUUGUAAAAAUAAAAAAGAGAGUUAAACACUACCAACAGACAGUGGCACAGGGUAAACAUUCCCAUUCCAAAAGGGAGAAGUAGGGUGCCAGAAGUCAAUGGAACGAAGCAGGACCAAAACCUAGCAGGGCGAACAGUAAACCCUUUAUUUCCAUAUCCAGAGUCCAAGGCAAUUUGUAGAGAGUCAUGAAAGGGCUAUGGUGGCCCCAUCCCAAUGGCACUGCUAGUGGUUAUAGCUCUCAUGGCUUCUCUCUUGCACUGGCUUUACUUACUCUUUGUGGCUUUCCUCAGAUGUUCUGUUUCUAGGUUCUCCAACUUUCUGGGAUAUCCACUGCACUUUUGGCUUUAUUCUGCUUCACACACUGAUAUCUGAGGGCACACUGCCUGGCCUCUCAAGCCUUCUUCUGAAUCUGGG